UACGUAGGGUGCAAGCGUUGUCCGGAAUUAUUGGGCGUAAAGAGCUCGUAGGCGGUCUGUCGCGUCGAAUGUGAAAACCCGGGGCUCAACCCCGGGCCUGCAUUCGAUACGGGCAGACUAGAGUUCGGUAGGGGAGCCUGGAAUUCCUGGUGUAGCGGUGAAAUGCGCAGAUAUCAGGAGGAACACCGGUGGCGAAGGCGGGACUCUGGGCCGAUACUGACGCUGAGGAGCGAAAGCGUGGGGAGCAAACAGG
This 253-nucleotide ribosomal RNA is filed under the name uncultured bacterium. Its description in RNAcentral is "partial 16S ribosomal RNA". It matches the Rfam family "Bacterial small subunit ribosomal RNA", at positions 524 to 776 of the family's 1533-position model. The record is from RNAcentral.